Molecule: ribosomal RNA, 481 nt
Filed under: uncultured bacterium
Lineage: Bacteria
Description: bacterial SSU rRNA
Rfam family: Bacterial small subunit ribosomal RNA
Source: RNAcentral
AAUGAACGUUGGCGGCGUGCCUAACACAUGCAAGUCGAGCGAGAAAGCUCCUUCGGGAGCGAGUAAAGCGGCGAACGGUUGAGUAACACGUAAGAAUUUACCCUUCAGUGAAGAAUACCCUCGAGAAAUCGAGGCUAAUGCUGCAUACGUCCCUUCGGGGAGAAAGAUGGCCUCUUUGCUGUCGCUGAAGGAUAAGCUUGCGGCUUAUCAGCUUGUUGGUGAGGUAAAGGCUCACCAAGGCUAUGACGAGUAGCCGGCCUGAGAGGGUGACCGGCCAGACUGGAACUUAGACACGGUCCAGACUCCUACGGGAGGCAGCAGUGGGGAAUAUUGGACAAUGGGGGCAACCCUGAUCCAGCAAUGCCGCGUGUGUGAAGAAGGCCUGCGGGUUGUAAAGCACUUUCAGUGGUGAGGAAAGCUCACGCGUUAAUAGCGCGGGAGGGUGACGUUAGCCACAGAAGCAGCACCGGCUAACUCCGUG